RNAcentral lists this ribosomal RNA (253 nucleotides) under uncultured bacterium. RNAcentral's name for it is "partial 16S ribosomal RNA". It matches the Rfam family "Bacterial small subunit ribosomal RNA", at positions 524 to 776 of the family's 1533-position model. The record is from RNAcentral.
UACAGAGGUCUCAAGCGUUGUUCGGAUUCAUUGGGCGUAAAGCGCGCGUAGGUGGCCAUUUAAGUCCGCUGUGAAAGUCAGAGGCUCAACCUUUGAAAGCCGGUGGAUACUGGAUGGCUAGAGUACGGAAGAGGCGAGUGGAAUUCCUGGUGUAGCGGUGGAAUGCGCAGAUAUCAGGAGGAACACCAAUAGCGAAGGCAGCUCGCUGGGACGUUACUGACACUAAGGCGCGAAAGCGUGGGGAGCGAACAGG